GUCACAUUAUACAUUUUAGCAUAUAUUAUAUAUUACCUAGUUUUGGAUUUAAUUAUUUCUAGUUUCAUUUUUUUUGCACUACUUACCCAGUAACAAACGAAAAAUGUUUAAGAAAGUGCACUUUGUUAAAAUUAUAGUUUUCCAUAUGAGCUUGCUCUUACUAAUGCAGUUAGCUUUUCCUGGAAUAACUGAUCGGGGUCCAGUCACGUUUCCUAGACCUUCCUAAAUCUGAUUUGCCGAAUUGCUUAUUGUGAAAUGUUUUUUUUUAAUUCCUUGUACCGGUUGCAGAACAUGGAUUUGCGCACAUUCUACACCUCUAUGCUGUAUUUGAUUUAUUAUUUCAAAAUGUAUUAAAAACAUAUUUUGUGGAAGAAACAUUUCAUUAGUAAAUUCGAACAUUACUUGGA
Long non-coding RNA from Zophobas morio, 407 nucleotides. RefSeq lists it as uncharacterized. Lineage: Eukaryota; Metazoa; Arthropoda; Insecta; Coleoptera; Tenebrionidae. The record is from RefSeq and is a predicted model, not a curated record. The transcript is spliced from 2 exons.